RNAcentral lists this ribosomal RNA (98 nucleotides) under Octodon degus (degu). Lineage: Eukaryota; Metazoa; Chordata; Mammalia; Rodentia; Octodontidae. The record is from RNAcentral.
AGCUAUGGCCAUACCACCAUGAAUGUGCCUGAUCUCAUGUGAUCUCGGAAACUAAGCAGGGCCAGGCCUGAUCAAUACUUGGACGGGAGACAUCAUUU